AACAAUGAGAAAGGUCACAUAUAUUAAAUCAACUUGAUUGCUUUACAAAGAACAUGAUACACAGAUUACAAUAUGUGAAACUAUCUAGUAAUAGUCUGAUUCUCAACCUUGCACUGAACGACUCAGCCAUCUAAACACAUAGUGUUUGAAACAUUGACCCUAAAAAUUACAUUCCAAAACAUAAUCUGAAACUAUCUAGUAGUAGCCACCUUCUCGAUCUUGUAAUCAACUUCUGAGCCAUGCAUCAUCGAUUUAUCUUGGCAAUCUACAACAACAAAGAAAUGAGAAUAGCAAGGUACCAUCAAAGAAAAUCAAUUAACAGGGAAGUAAAAUUUAAACAAAAGAGCAACAUAUAAAGGUUGGAGGACAUGUCAUAGUUAAUCAUACUAUAUGACUAAUAAUUUUGUUUUAGUGGUUAUGUCAACCAAGAAACAGUUAGUCCCGGAGGGAGUACCAAGUCAACACCCAUAGUUUUUUGUUUUAUAUUAUAGGUCAGUACUUUGGAGUGUAGCAAGGGCAACAUUCUUCUUUGGAUUUCCCAAGCUAAGCAAGAACUGCAAUAAGCAUUAAUAUUGAAAAAAGUAUGAGCAAAUAAAUUGUUGCUCAGCCAUGUUGAAUUCACACAAUAGAGAAAUGAGCAUACCUUGUCUUUAGAUGGAUGAUUGCAUCUCCAUAUCAUAGAGGAAACUUCACUUUAAAUGCAAUAUGUUGCUUCCCUGAACAGAUUAGUUAAAGUUUCACUUCUCUGAACACCCAAGUCGAAGCAAGCACCAGAACAAUAUCCUUGUUUCGUCAUCCAACAUAUAUCAUCACCUCUAAAGAGCUAUGAAAUAUCAUAAUUUGAUCACUUUUUACAGUCCCAACCAUAGCACUAUGAUAUAUAGAUGGAGAAAAGAGGGCCUUUUGAAAAGAGUGUCCUUAUGUUAAACGAGUUAAACACCUUACAAAGAAUAUAAUGAAGAUACAGUGAGGUACAUGCCAAAAACUAUGUACAUCGACAAAUAUAGCAUCCUUGAUUGCAAACAAAGAUCUGCAGUUCUCAAAACAAU
Molecule: long non-coding RNA, 1049 nt
Filed under: Triticum aestivum (bread wheat)
Lineage: Eukaryota; Viridiplantae; Streptophyta; Magnoliopsida; Poales; Poaceae
Description: long non-coding RNA (TAES_LNC020869)
Source: RNAcentral